This 401-nucleotide ribosomal RNA is filed under the name uncultured soil bacterium. Its description in RNAcentral is "bacterial SSU rRNA". It matches the Rfam family "Bacterial small subunit ribosomal RNA", at positions 975 to 1375 of the family's 1533-position model. The record is from RNAcentral.
CAGGUCUUGACAUCCCACUGACCGGUGUAGAGAUACAUAUUUCCCUUCGGGGACAGUGGUGACAGGUGGUGCAUGGUUGUCGUCAGCUCGUGUCGUGAGAUGUUGGGUUAAGUCCCGCAACGAGCGCAACCCUUGAUCUUAGUUGCCAGCAUUCAGUUGGGCACUCUAAGGUGACUGCCGGUGACAAACCGGAGGAAGGUGGGGAUGACGUCAAAUCAUCAUGCCCCUUAUGACCUGGGCUACACACGUGCUACAAUGGACGGUACAGAGGGUUGCCAACCCGCGAGGGGGAGCCAAUCCCAUAAAACCGUUCCCAGUUCGGAUUGCAGGCUGCAACUCGCCUGCAUGAAGCCGGAAUCGCUAGUAAUCGUGGAUCAGCAUGCCACGGUGAAUACGUUCCC